CUACGGGCGGCUCCAGUGGGGAAUAUUGGACAAUGGGCGCAAGCCUGAUCCAGCAAUGCCGCGUGAGUGAAGACGGCCUUAGGGUUGUAAAACUCUUUCGCUAGGGAAGAUAAUGACUGUACCUAGUAAAGAAGUCCCGGCUAACUCCGUGCCAGCAGCCGCGGUAAUACGGAGGGGACUAGCGUUGUUCGGAAUUACUGGGCGUAAAGAGUUCGUAGGCGGACUGACAAGUUAGAGGUGAAAUCCCAGGGCUCAACCCUGGAACUGCCUUUAAAACUGUCAGUCUAGAGACCGGAAGAGGUUAGGGGAAUACCUAGUGUAGAGGUGAAAUUCGUAGAUAUUAGGUGGAACACCAGUGGCGAAGGCGCCUAACUGGUCCGGUACUGACGCUGAGGAACGAAAGCGUGGGGAGCAAACAGGAUUAGAUACCCCCGUAGUC
RNAcentral lists this ribosomal RNA (439 nucleotides) under uncultured bacterium. Its description in RNAcentral is "partial 16S ribosomal RNA". It matches the Rfam family "Bacterial small subunit ribosomal RNA", at positions 339 to 795 of the family's 1533-position model. The record is from RNAcentral.